UAGGAAAUCAGAAGCUAUCUCUGUCAGUGACAGAAAACCUUUCUGAGGCAAAAUGCUUAUCUGAAGAGAAUCUGUUGGCUGCUACACUAAACCAGGAUUCAGUUCAGAGUUGCACAGCCAAAGAGACUUGGAGCAAUUGUAAUGCAAAUAUUCCUGAUAUGAAGCAAAGAAGAAGA
Molecule: long non-coding RNA, 176 nt
Organism: Mauremys reevesii (Reeves's turtle)
Lineage: Eukaryota; Metazoa; Chordata; Testudines; Geoemydidae
Exons: 3
Source: RefSeq, a predicted model, not a curated record